This is a long non-coding RNA of Carassius auratus (goldfish), 565 nucleotides long. RefSeq lists it as uncharacterized. The record is from RefSeq and is a predicted model, not a curated record. Lineage: Eukaryota; Metazoa; Chordata; Actinopteri; Cypriniformes; Cyprinidae. The transcript is spliced from 3 exons.
AGACAGUCCAUGGUUUCACAAUGAUCUCUGUUAUGUUGUGAUGCUGUUUUAAUACAAACAAUUAUAAGUUGUAUUUCUUUAAAUAGAAAAAUACAGUUCCGGUCUGCAAAUUCAUGUGAUAUUCUCAUUCUCACAGUCGUGAGUUUUUAAGUAAGCAGGGAUAUCUUCUGUAUCAUCUGAAGUGAGAUCUGCUGCUGUCAAGAUGAUGUUUGUUAAAAAAGAGAGUGAGGAGAACACGAGUGAACCAGAAACCUGGAGAAUAAAACACGAGGAACAAGGCCUGAUGAAAGUGAAAGAAGAAAGACAAGAUCUGAAUGAAGUGGAGGAGAGCUAUCAGGAUCAGAAAGCUCAUGAUGUCACUGGAGAAAAAUCAGAUGUGAGGGAAGGAUGCAAGGAAAAGAAAUGAAGACGGAGAAAUCAAAGGAUCAGCAAUGGAAUAUUCUUGACCACUCCAGCAUCACUUGACAGUGUCAUCAGCUUCACUAAAAGGAUCUGCCCCCUAUAUUGUUAAAAUUUCUUAAGGAAUUCAUAAUGAAUAUUAAUAAAGCAAGAUGCUCUCUUGAAA